RNAcentral lists this ribosomal RNA (299 nucleotides) under uncultured Synergistaceae bacterium. RNAcentral's name for it is "partial 16S ribosomal RNA". It matches the Rfam family "Bacterial small subunit ribosomal RNA", at positions 1086 to 1382 of the family's 1533-position model. Lineage: Bacteria; Thermotogati; Synergistota; Synergistia; Synergistales; Synergistaceae. The record is from RNAcentral.
CCCGCAACGAGCGCAACCCCUCGCAUUCAGUUGCCAUCGGGUAAUGCCGGGCACUCUGGAAGGACUGCCAUCGACAAGAUGGAGGAAGGUGGGGAUGACGUCAAGUCAUCAUGGCCCUUAUGUCCAGGGCGACACACGUGCUACAAUGGCCGGCACAACGGGAAGCGAGUUCGCGAGGACGAGCGGAUCCCUCAAAGCCGGUCGCAGUUCGGAUUGAAGUCUGCAACUCGACUUCAUGAAGCUGGAAUCGCUAGUAAUCGUGGAUCAGCCAAGCCGCGGUGAAUACGUUCCCGGGCCUU